RNAcentral lists this ribosomal RNA (245 nucleotides) under uncultured bacterium. RNAcentral describes it as "partial 16S ribosomal RNA". It matches the Rfam family "Bacterial small subunit ribosomal RNA", at positions 524 to 767 of the family's 1533-position model. The record is from RNAcentral.
UACAGAAUCCUCAAGCGUUACCCGGAUUUAUUGGGCGUAAAGGGUUCGUAGGUGGUAAAGUAAGUUUCGAGUUAAACCUCAUCGGCUUAACCUUUGAGCUGCUCGAAAUACUGCUUUACUUGAGGGCGUUAGGGGUUAGCGGAACCGACGGAGUAGGGGUGAAAUCCGUUGAUAUCGUCGGGAACACCAAAAGCGAAGGCAGCUAACUAGGACGACCCUGACACUGAGGAACGAAAGCGUGGGGA